This 496-nucleotide ribosomal RNA is filed under the name uncultured bacterium. RNAcentral's name for it is "bacterial SSU rRNA". It matches the Rfam family "Bacterial small subunit ribosomal RNA", at positions 29 to 518 of the family's 1533-position model. The record is from RNAcentral.
AUGAACGCUAGCGGCAGGCUUAACACAUGCAAGUCGAGGGGCAUCGGGAGUAGCAAUACUGCCGGCGACCGGCGCAAGGGUGCGUAACGCGUGAGCAACAUGCCCGUAUCAGGGGGGAUAAUCCAUGGAAACGUGGUCUAAUACCCCAUAGUAAUUAUGUAAGGCAUCUUAUAUAAUUUAAAGCUUUGGUGGAUACGGAUUGGCUCGCGUGACAUUAGCUAGAUGGUAAGGUAACGGCUUACCAUGGCUACGAUGUCUAGGGGUUCUGAGAGGAAGGUCCCCCACACUGGAACUGAGACACGGUCCAGACUCCUACGGGAGGCAGCAGUGAGGAAUAUUGGACAAUGGAUGGAAAUCUGAUCCAGCCAUGCCGCGUGCAGGAAGAACCGGCCCUAUGGGUUGUAAACUGCUUUUGUAUGGGAGCAAUAAGGGCUACGCGUAGUCCGAUGAGAGUACCAUACGAAUAAGCACCGGCUAACUCCGUGCCAGCAGCUGC